Molecule: ribosomal RNA, 504 nt
Filed under: uncultured bacterium
Lineage: Bacteria
Description: bacterial SSU rRNA
Rfam family: Bacterial small subunit ribosomal RNA
Source: RNAcentral
UAGUCCACGCUGUAAACGAUGAUAACUCGGUGCUGGCGAUAUACGGUCAGUGCCCAAGCGAAAGUGAUAAGUUAUCCACCUGGGGAGUACGAUCGCAAGGUUGAAACUCAAAGGAAUUGACGGGGGCCCGCACAAGCGGUGGAGCAUGUGGUUUAAUUCGAUGAUACGCGAGGAACCUUACCUGGGCUUAAAUGCAUAAUGACCGAUUGGGAAACCAAUCUUUCUUCGGACAGAAUGCAAGGUGCUGCAUGGUUGUCGUCAGCUCGUGCUGUGAGGUGUCGGGUUAAGUCCCAUAACGAGCGCAACCCCUAUUCUUAGUUGCCAGCGGAUAAUGCCGGGGACUCUAAGGAAACUGCCCGCGCAAGCGGAGAGGAAGGUGGGGAUGACGUCAAAUCAUCACGGCCCUUACGUCCAGGGCUACACACGUGCUACAAUGGUCGGUACAGAGGGCAGGCUACCUGGUGACAGGAUGCUAAUCUUGAAANCCGAUCUCAGUUCGGAUUG